AUUGAACGCUGGCGGCAGGCCUAACACAUGCAAGUCGAGCGGAGCGGCGGACGGGUGAGUAAUGCAUAGGAAUCUGCCUGGUAGUGGGGGAUAAAGUCCGGAAACGGGCGCUAAUACCGCAUACUAUCAGAUUAGUAUAGGUCGGCUUAGCUAUUUGGAGGGGUAAAGGCCCACCACGGCGACGAUCCGUAACUGGUCUGGGAGGAGGAUCAGUCACACGGGAACUGAGACACGGUCCAGACUCCUACGGGAGGCAGCAGUGGGGAAUAUUGGACAAUGGGCGAAAGCCUGAUCCAGCCAGGCGGCGUGUGUGAAGAAGGUCUUCGGAUUGUAAAGCACUUUAAGUUGGGAGGCGUUACCAACAGAAUAAGCACCGGCUAACUACGUGCCAGCAGCCGCGGUAAUAC
RNAcentral lists this ribosomal RNA (407 nucleotides) under uncultured bacterium. Its description in RNAcentral is "partial 16S ribosomal RNA". It matches the Rfam family "Bacterial small subunit ribosomal RNA", at positions 30 to 526 of the family's 1533-position model. The record is from RNAcentral.